This 868-nucleotide ribosomal RNA is filed under the name uncultured archaeon. RNAcentral's name for it is "bacterial SSU rRNA". It matches the Rfam family "Archaeal small subunit ribosomal RNA", at positions 1 to 873 of the family's 1478-position model. The record is from RNAcentral.
UUUUUCCGGUUGAUCCUGCCAGAGGCCACUGCUAUCGGGGUUUGACUAAGCCAUGCGAGUCGAGAGGUUUCUGACCUCGGCGUACUGCUCAGUAACACGUGGACAAUCUGCCCUGGAGAGGAGGAUAUCCCCGGGAAACUGGGAUUAAUACUCCAUAGUUCGUCUUAACUGGAAUGUUAUUCGAACGAAAGAUCCGUCGCUCCAGGAUGAGUCUGCGGCCGAUUAGGUAGUUGUUGGGGUAUUUGGUUCCAACAAGCCUUUCAUCGGUACGGGUUGUGGGAGCAAGAGCCCGGAGAUGGAUUCUGAGACACGAAUCCAGGCCCUACGGGGCGCAGCAGGCGCGAAAACUUUACCAUGCGGGCAACCGUGAUAAGGAAACCCCGAGUGCCAGCACAGGCUGGCUGUCCGCCAGUUUAAAUAACUGGUGAAGAAAGGGCCGGGCAAGACCGGUGCCAGCCGCCGCGGUAAUACCGGCGGCUCGAGUGGUGGCCGCUAUUACUGGGCUUAAAGGGUCCGUAGCUUGAUAACUGGGUCCCUUGAGAAAUCCGCCAGCUCAACUGGCGGGCGUUCAGGGGAAACUUGUUUUCUAGGGACCGGGAGAGGAGAGGGGAACUGCCGGGGUAGGAGUGAAAUCCUGUAAUCCCGGUGGGACCACCUAUGGCGAAGGCAUCUCACCAGAACGGGUCCGACAGUGAGGGACGAAAGCUGGGGGAGCAAACCGGAUUAGAUACCCGGGUAGUCCCAGCUGUAAACUAUGUGCGUUAGGUGUGUCAGUGACCACGUGUCACUGAGGUGCCGAAGGGAAACCGUGAAACGCACCGCCUGGGGAGUACGGUCGCAAGGCUGAAACUUAAAGGAAUUGGCGGGA